AUUGAACGCUGGCGGCAGGCCUAACACAUGCAAGUCGAGCGGAUGACGGGAGCUUGCUCCUUGAUUCAGCGGCGGACGGGUGAGUAAUGCCUAGGAAUCUGCCUGGUAGUGGGGGACAACGUUUCGAAAGGAACGCUAAUACCGCAUACGUCCUACGGGAGAAAGCAGGGGACCUUCGGGCCUUGCGCUAUCAGAUGAGCCUAGGUCGGAUUAGCUAGUUGGUGGGGUAAUGGCUCACCAAGGCGACGAUCCGUAACUGGUCUGAGAGGAUGAUCAGGCACACUUGAACUGAGACACGGUCCAGACUACUACGGGAGGCAGCAGUGGGGAAUAUUGGACAAUGGGCGACAGCCUGAUCCAGCCAUGCCGCGUGUGUGAAGAAGGGCUUCGGAUUGUAAAGCACUUUAAGUUGGGAGGAAGGGCAGUAAGCUAAUACCUUGCUGUUUUGACGUUACCGACAGAAUAAGCACCGGCUAACUCUGUGCCAGCAGCAGCCGCGG
RNAcentral lists this ribosomal RNA (500 nucleotides) under uncultured bacterium. RNAcentral describes it as "partial 16S ribosomal RNA". It matches the Rfam family "Bacterial small subunit ribosomal RNA", at positions 30 to 523 of the family's 1533-position model. The record is from RNAcentral.